UGGCCUCAUUCCGAUAAGAGUACCCGCUAGACUUAAGCAUAUUAAUCAGCGGAGGAAAAGAAACUAACAAGGAUUCCCUCAGUAACUGCGAGUGAACCGGGAUGAGCUCAAUGUGUGAAUCCGGUAUGCUUGUUCAUGCCCGGAGUUGUGCACUAUGGACAUGCUGUCUGCUUCAAUGGACCACCCAAGUCGGAUGAAAAGCCGCGCCUGAGAAGGUAAUAGCCCUGUCUAUGGUGGACUCCGGUUGCUGCAUUACGACGUGUGCUCCUUGAGUCGUGUAGUUUUGUAAUGCUGCGCUAAUAUGGGAGGUAGUACCCUUCCAAAGCUAAAUACCAUGACGUGACCGAUAGCACACAAGUACCGUGAGGGAAAGGUGAAAAGGAUCUCUUAUGCAGACCUUGAAACAGACGUGAAAGUGCUGCGGGGAAAAGGGCUGUCAAG
This 441-nucleotide ribosomal RNA is filed under the name uncultured Tulasnellaceae. RNAcentral's name for it is "eukaryotic LSU rRNA". It matches the Rfam family "Eukaryotic large subunit ribosomal RNA", at positions 1 to 430 of the family's 3401-position model. Lineage: Eukaryota; Fungi; Basidiomycota; Agaricomycetes; Cantharellales; Tulasnellaceae. The record is from RNAcentral.